GGGCGAAGGAUCAUUACUGAGUGGCUGUAUUCGUGCUUCUCUUCGGAGACGCGAAGCUACCCGACCUGAUGUCAUUUUAUCCGAGGGCGCGCCCGCUUGAGAAGACAGCGGUUUGACGUUGUGGUGUUACCCGGACGAGGCGCUUGUCUCGUAAGGGGAAGCUUCCGGGUCGGGCCGUGGCGCGUUCCUUGGCACAACUUUCCGCGGAAGUGGUAGGCGUUGACUUGCCCGCCGCGGGCCAUACUUUUCACAACUCUCGAAGAAAACCUGAAGUCUGAAUACCAAAACAAAAACGAAAAGCAAAACUUUCAACAACGGAUCUCUUGGCUCUGGCAACGAUGAAGAACGCAGCGAAACGCGAAAGGUAAUGCGAAUUGCAGAAUCAGUGAGUCAUCGAAUCUUUGAACGCACAUUGCGCCUCUCGGUAUUCCGGGAGGCACGCCUGUUCGAGCGCCAUUACAAACUCCAAGCGUGGCUUGAUGUUGGGCGAUGUCUUUUUGCGAGAGCGGGAGACACGCCUGGAACGCGUUGGCGCCGCCGCCGGACCACGAGCGUAGCAAGACGAGAGUCAAUCGCAUCGAUUUGGUUUCCGACGGAGGUCCGCCUUGUGACUGCACUUUCGAGUGUAGUUGAAAAACUUCUCAAGUUUGGCCUCGGAUCAGGCGGGGAUACCCGCUGAACUUAAGCAUACA
Molecule: ribosomal RNA, 692 nt
Filed under: Scolecobasidium sp. MY5_4
Lineage: Eukaryota; Fungi; Ascomycota; Dothideomycetes; Venturiales; Sympoventuriaceae
Description: eukaryotic LSU rRNA
Rfam family: 5.8S ribosomal RNA (bases 304-456)
Source: RNAcentral